This 253-nucleotide ribosomal RNA is filed under the name uncultured bacterium. RNAcentral's name for it is "partial 16S ribosomal RNA". It matches the Rfam family "Bacterial small subunit ribosomal RNA", at positions 524 to 776 of the family's 1533-position model. The record is from RNAcentral.
UACAGAGGGUGCAAGCGUUAAUAGGAAUUACUGGGCGUAAAGCGCACGCAGGCGGUUGGUUAAGUCAGAUGUGAAAGCCCCGGGCUCAACCUGGGAAUUGCAUUUGAAACUGGCCAACUAGAGUACGUGAGAGGGGGGUAGAAUUCCAAGUGUAGCGGUGAAAUGCGUAGAGAUUUGGAGGAAUACCAGUGGCGAAGGCGGCCCCCUGGCACGAUACUGACGCUCAGGUGCGAAAGCGUGGGGAGCAAACAGG